AUUCCAGCUCCAAUAGCGUAUACUAAAGUUGUUGCAGUUAAAAAGCUCGUAGUUGAAUUUCUGGUCGUGGCGAUCGGUCCGCCCCUCACGGGGUGUGCACCUGGUCUCUACGUCCAUCCUCGGGGAGAGCGCGUCUGGCAUUCAGUUGUCGGGUGCGGGAUCCUCGUCAUUUACUGUGAGCAAAAUAGAGUGUUCAAAGCAGGCUUAGGCCGUUGAAUACAUUAGCAUGGAAUAAUAAGAUAGGACCUUGGUCUAUUUUGUUGGUUUGCAUUCCAAGGUAAUGAUUAAUAGGGAUAGUUGGGGGUAUUCGUAUUCAAUUGUCAGAGGUGAAAUUCUUGGAUUUAUGGAAGACGAACUACUGCGAAAGCAUUUACCAAGGAUGUUUUCAUCA
Molecule: ribosomal RNA, 391 nt
Filed under: Chrysophyceae sp.
Lineage: Eukaryota; Chrysophyceae
Description: partial small subunit ribosomal RNA
Rfam family: Eukaryotic small subunit ribosomal RNA
Source: RNAcentral